Ochotona princeps (American pika) is the source of this 102-nucleotide small nuclear RNA. NCBI's taxonomy places the organism in Eukaryota, Metazoa, Chordata, Mammalia, Lagomorpha, Ochotonidae. The record is from Ensembl.
CUUGUUUUGGCACAUGUGUACAACUAAAACUGAGAAGACACAGAGGUGAGCAUGGCCUGUGCAGAAGAUGACAGGCAGAUUUGUGAAAUAUGCCAUAUUUUG